AACGUAGGAGACAAACGUUAUCCGGAGUUACUGGGCGUAAAGGGCGUGUAGGUGGUUUCGUAAGUCUGGCGUGAAAUAUCUCGGCUUAACCGAGGCAGGUCGUCGGAUACUGCGGGACUAGAGGACGGUAGAGGCGUGUGGAAUUCCGGGUGGAGUGGUGAAAUGCGUAGAGAUCCGGAGGAACACCAGAGGCGAAGGCGGCCUACUGGGCUGCACCUGACGCUGAGCCGCGAAAGCCAGGGGAGCGAUCGGG
This 253-nucleotide ribosomal RNA is filed under the name uncultured bacterium. Its description in RNAcentral is "partial 16S ribosomal RNA". It matches the Rfam family "Bacterial small subunit ribosomal RNA", at positions 524 to 776 of the family's 1533-position model. The record is from RNAcentral.